This 741-nucleotide non-coding RNA is filed under the name Pongo abelii (Sumatran orangutan). The record is from RNAcentral. Lineage: Eukaryota; Metazoa; Chordata; Mammalia; Primates; Hominidae.
CAGCUCCAGAAGAAUGAGCCUGCACAGCUUGGACUGUCGCCUCUGGCGGGUUCCUGCUCUUUGAUGAAGCCUCGUCAUAACCACAGGUGUUUGAAAGUUCCUCCUUUGCUCUUCUCUUUCCUGCUGCCUUGUCAAGAAGGUGCCUGCUUCCCCUUUGCCUUCCACCAUGAUUCUAAGUUUCCUGAGGCCUCCCCAGCCAUGUGGAACUAGCCCUAUCUUCAACAGCUGCCAAAAUUGAAGAACAAACAGAAUCUUUGAAACUUCCCUUCAACUGGUCAUCCUCUUCCCUUUUUUUCUCCUUUAAACACUGUUCCAAUUCGUUAUGAUGGCCCCAAAGCCAAGACAGACAUGGAAGUGAACACUGGAGUGGAAGGAAUGACGGGGAGCAAAGGUCUGCUUUCUUUCUAUCAUUCUUGUAUCAACUCUAAAUUGAAACCCAAAUCACUGAAAUCUAAAAAAUCAUAUAAAAGCAAGUCAAUGACUAAAAGAAAAUGAAAUGAGAUCCUAUCAGAGAAAUAUGAAAGGGAAAAUACCACUGAUUAGAUAAGUUAUGGGAAAAAUAAAUCAUUACACCAUUAAAUGUAUACGUCGACAUACUGUAUGUUGUUGUGUGCUUAUUGUCUUUCACCAGUAGAAUGUAAGUCCCAUAAAGGUAAGGACUCUAUAUAUUCUGUUUGCAGCAGCAUCUCUAGUGCAUAGAACAGUUCCUAGCACAAAAUAAACAGUUGUUGAAUAAAUGAA